CCUAAUGUGAAGACACGGGCGCAAUCGAAUGAGUCAUUGUCGAGAACGGAACGAGAAUAGCUAACCAAGCGAUGGCCUUCUUCCCGCCCAUCCCCUUCCGUACAUACAUACACCUUUGCCGUUCGCGCUGCACUGAUUGUUGCAUGCCCAGGUAGGCAAGCGGUAGGGGGCAAACCAGAGACCACGCACCUCAGCAACCUGGUGCAACCUGCAUUAGCGCCGCCUCCUUGUUCGCCUUCAUGUCGCUUUGUAAUAUUUGCAAGGACCUGGUCCACUGCCCCUUUUACCUCGGGGUUCAAUCUUUG
This 305-nucleotide long non-coding RNA is filed under the name Volvox carteri. RNAcentral's name for it is "long non-coding RNA (VCAR_LNC003205)". The record is from RNAcentral. Lineage: Eukaryota; Viridiplantae; Chlorophyta; Chlorophyceae; Chlamydomonadales; Volvocaceae.